Molecule: ribosomal RNA, 452 nt
Filed under: Pontia edusa
Lineage: Eukaryota; Metazoa; Arthropoda; Insecta; Lepidoptera; Pieridae
Description: eukaryotic LSU rRNA
Source: RNAcentral
UUUGGACGCUUUGAGCUUACUUGCUUGCCUCUCUAAGUAGCAGUAAGGCGCCGCAUGAUCGGGCGCGGAGCUACGCACGCGCAAAGCCGCGCGCGCGUGCCCAGCCCGCACAGCUGCGGGCGCCUGCCGCACGUGAAGAGAGAGUCAUGUGUUUAUGUAGCGCUGGGCAAGCUGAGUGGUGACAGAUUCGCGCCAGGCCCUCGGCUCGCCGCCGCAGAGUUGUUGCAGCCGGCGAGCUGGCGCUGGCAGCGGCUGUCAUCAGCCUGCCAUCAACAACUGAACUUAGCGCGUGCGCGGAGCGCGCGCAGUCCGGGCUGCGUUCACAAGCACAGCAGCGGGCAAAGGACGGAUACGCGCCUGCGCCCGCGCCGCGGCGACAGCAGCGUCGGCCGUGUCAGAGACUGGCACGCGCAAAGACAGCCGCUACAAAGUCAAAGCCCGUGAGCGUCCUG